UAGGAAAAUGAGGAGCCAUUUGGAUUAGAUUUGAAUAAUUAAUGGGUAAUGUAAAUGACCCAUUAAUUUGAGUAUGACAAACUGGGAGGGUUUUUAGGAGCACGUCACAUCCACUUUCUUCUCCACUUGAACUUCACGUGAAGUACUUUAGUUCAAGGUGAAAUGAGGUUUGCUUUUCCUUUCAUUAAAAAAUGGGACUCAAAGUCUAUCUCACAUGAGGUGUAUAGGUCAAAACUUAUUUAGAGAACCUUUCUUUUUAUUUUCAACACCAUUAAAAAAAAAAAUAGGACUUUGAACCCACUUUGAUUUUUCAAACAUUCUGACAACAAGCUUUUACUCCUCCCUUUUUUUUUAUGUAACUUUAAAGCUUUUAAGUUCAACCACUCCUCUUCCAUGUGAGCAAAACUUCACGUGAGGUGCAGGCCUUCCAUCUUAGCUUUAUAAAUGUAUCUGGAACACUUUUCUUCCUUUAGAGUUUUUAUAUACUUUUCCUUCCUUGUGCAGAGAACAUACAUGAAAUUGGAAUAAAAGCAGUCGCCCAUCUUGCUGUUUUUCUUCACAUUUCUCAAGUAGAAGACCUCUUCGAUUUUUCCAAAAGCAGAGAGUGUUAUAGUAUCGUCAUCUCGAGUUUUGAUUGGAACUUCACGGGGUGGUUUAGACCCCGAAGAAAUUCAUGGGAUUAAACUGCAGCGGCACAGAGCGGAGCUCUUGGAUUUGAUCGGAACUUCACGGGGUGGUUUAGACCCCGAAGAAAUUCAUGGGAUUAAACUGCAGCGGCGGGGA
Long non-coding RNA from Malus domestica (apple), 783 nucleotides. RefSeq lists it as uncharacterized. The record is from RefSeq and is a predicted model, not a curated record. Lineage: Eukaryota; Viridiplantae; Streptophyta; Magnoliopsida; Rosales; Rosaceae.